GCCUGGAACUUUGAAGAGUUUUAACUAUCACUAAUAUUCUGUACUACGUACCUUGUUCUCUUACCUCUACCUAAAGGUUUUCUGUAAGAGUUAAUAUUGUCCUAGUAAAAUAUGCCUAGGCAGACAUACAUUACUAGUAGAAAAAGUCCCUAGAGUGUUUAAAUUUUCGUUUGUGCCUAGGUUGCCAAUAAAAUUGCAACAAGACUUGAAACUCAAUUGUCACGUAUUUUACAUCGCAUUUAUAAAUGAUAUGUAUGGAAAACUUGGGCAAUUUUACUGCCAAAUAUUCUCCACUUUAAAGGCGUUUGUCACCUUUGGUUCAUGUCAGAUAUAAUGAAUAUAGCAAUACUGGUCGAAAGCAUCGUUAACAUUAUCAUCCUGAUCAACGGAUCACAAAAAGGCCAAGGACGUAUGUUAGUUAUACGUCCUUGCAAAAGGCCAUUCCUACAUAGAAUACAACGUCCGUUUACAAAAUAGUUUGUACACACGUUGAUAGUUUUGUAAAUGAACCUUGCUCUUCAAGUUUAAAGAUACAGAGUAAGGGAGCUACCAUUUGAUUUUUAUGGGGGGGCUAGGAUGAAAUUUGAAAAAAAUAGGCAGGACAGGAGUUUUGAGUAAAAAAAAAGGCAGGAUGAGACACUUUGCAAAAAAAAAGGCAGGAUGACAAUUUAGGUAAAAAAAAGUCAGGAUAAACUAAUAAAAAAAAAGGCAGGACCAAAUAGCAUGAAUAGAGGGAAAAACAAGAGGCUCUCAAGAGCCUGAAUCGCUC
This 769-nucleotide long non-coding RNA is filed under the name Mytilus galloprovincialis (Mediterranean mussel). The record is from RNAcentral. Lineage: Eukaryota; Metazoa; Mollusca; Bivalvia; Mytilida; Mytilidae.